This 253-nucleotide ribosomal RNA is filed under the name uncultured bacterium. RNAcentral describes it as "partial 16S ribosomal RNA". It matches the Rfam family "Bacterial small subunit ribosomal RNA", at positions 524 to 776 of the family's 1533-position model. The record is from RNAcentral.
UACGGGGGGGGUAAGCGUUGUUCGGAAUUACUGGGCGUAAAGGGCUUGUAGGUGGCCAACUAAGUCAGACGUGAAAUCCCUCAGCUUAACUGGGGAACUGCGUCUGAUACUGGAUGGCUUGAGUUUGGGAGAGGGAUGCGGAAUUCCAGGUGUAGCGGUGAAAUGCGUAGAUAUCUGGAGGAACACCGGUGGCGAAGGCGGCAUCCUGGACCAAUAUUGACGCUGAGGAGCGAAAGCCAGGGGAGCAAACGGG